GUAGCUCUGUAACAACACACAGCAAUGCAACACAAAGUAAGGAACAAUCUUGAACUCAUGCAAUUUCCAUGCAUAGGUAGCAUUCUGCACUGCAGGGAACAGCAAACCACACGCACACACACUCCAGCGACCAGUAAACCACACAGGAAGAGGCUAGGAGCUAUGUCAGUGUCAUGUGACAGUUAAUUUGUCAUAAAACUCAUCCUGGCAAUAGGAACAAUAAUGUUGAAUCUUACUUUGUAUCUGGAAAUAUAAAAAGUUAAACUGGAGUUAAGUCUGUGGAUGGAUGAAGAAUUUAAUAGUAAAAAUUGUUUGAUGUGAUAGACUGACAAUACCCUGGACAAAUCUUCUGGAAUUAAGAUAAACUUUACUGAAUGACGUUUAACCUUAUGCAUUAGGUUUAAUAGCUUUGGGGUCUAUUGUAUUAAAAAUGCAGUGACGGUG
Gopherus flavomarginatus (Mexican gopher tortoise) is the source of this 444-nucleotide long non-coding RNA. RefSeq lists it as uncharacterized. The record is from RefSeq and is a predicted model, not a curated record. NCBI's taxonomy places the organism in Eukaryota, Metazoa, Chordata, Testudines, Testudinidae. The transcript has 2 exons.